CAGCAGCCGCGGGAAUACGAAGGGGGCUAGCGUUGCUCGGAAUGACUGGGCGUAAAGGGCGCGUAGGCGGCGGCCAAAGUCAGGCGUGAAAUUCCCGGGCUCAACCUGGGGGCUGCGUUUGAUACUUGGUUGCUUGAGUGGGGAAGAGGGUCGUGGAAUUCCCAGUGUAGAGGUGAAAUGCGUAGAGAUGUGGAGGAACACCGGUGGCGAAGGCGGCAACCUGGUCCUUGACUGACGCUGAGGCGCGAAAGCGUGGGGAGCAAACAGGAUUAGAUACCCGUGUAGUCCCUGUCUCUUAUAC
Molecule: ribosomal RNA, 301 nt
Filed under: uncultured bacterium
Lineage: Bacteria
Description: partial 16S ribosomal RNA
Rfam family: Bacterial small subunit ribosomal RNA
Source: RNAcentral